AGGGCACCACCAGGAGUGGAGCCUGCGGCUUAAUUUGACUCAACACGGGAAAACUCACCCGGCCCGGACACUGGAAGGAUUGACAGAUUGAGAGCUCUUUCUUGAUUCAGUGGGUGGUGGUGCAUGGCCGUUCUUAGUUGGUGGAGUGAUUUGUCUGGUUAAUUCCGAUAACGAACGAGACUCUAGCCUACUAAAUAGAUCGUCGGCUUACAAACGCCGACGAGACUUCUUAGAGGGACAAACGGUGAUUCAACCGUACGAAACAGAGCAAUAACAGGUCUGUGAUGCCCUUAGAUGUCCGGGGCCGCACGCGCGCUACACUGAAGUGAUCAGCGUGCAUUUUCAGCCUACUCUGUCAAGAGUGGGAAACCCAAUGAACCUUCUUCGUGAUUGGGAUAGGGGAUUGUAAUUAUUCCCCUUGAACGAGGAAUUCCCAGUAAGCGCGAGUCAUAAGCUCGCGUUGAUUACGUCCCUGCCCUUUGUACACACCGCCCGUCGCUACUACCGAUUGAAUGUUUU
RNAcentral lists this ribosomal RNA (519 nucleotides) under uncultured eukaryote. RNAcentral describes it as "SSU rRNA". It matches the Rfam family "Eukaryotic small subunit ribosomal RNA", at positions 1161 to 1699 of the family's 1831-position model. The record is from RNAcentral.